This 433-nucleotide ribosomal RNA is filed under the name uncultured bacterium. RNAcentral describes it as "partial 16S ribosomal RNA". It matches the Rfam family "Bacterial small subunit ribosomal RNA", at positions 29 to 507 of the family's 1533-position model. The record is from RNAcentral.
AACGAACGCUGGCGGCAUGCCUAACACAUGCAAGUCGAACGAGAACUUCGGGUCCAGUGGCGCAUGGGUGUGUCACGCGUGGGAAGAUGACCACAGGGUUGGACUAACUCAGAGAAAUUUGUGAUAAUAGCGGAUAAUGUCUUCGGACCAAAGAUUUAUUGCACUUGUAUGGACCAGCGUAGGAUUAGCUUGUUGGUGUGGUAAUGGCCUACCAAGGCGACGAUCCUUAGCUUGUCUGAGAGGCUGAUCAGCCACACUGAGACUGAGACACGGCCCAGACUCCUACGGGAUGCAGCAGUGGGUAAUAGUGCACCAUCGGCGAAAGCCUGAUCCAGCAAUGCCGCGUGAGUGAUGAAGGCCUUAGAGUUGUAAAGCUCUUUUACCAGGGAUGAUAAUGACAGUACCUAGAGAAUAAGCCCCGGCUAACUCCGUG